AUCUGCAGGGCAAUUCAGUGAAGGGGAGCUGAAUGACGGGCUAUAUUGAUCAACAUGUGGCUGCAAAUAAGGGUGCCUCAAAAGUUCUGAUGCCUAAGCAAGAUUUUCUGCAACGCUCCGUUUGCCGCGCUAGUCUGAUCUUCUUCAGCACAUACCUGAAUUUUUUGAAAAGAUCACCAAAAAUGAAAAAAAGAAAACACACAAAUGUAUGUUA
Hibiscus syriacus is the source of this 214-nucleotide long non-coding RNA. RefSeq lists it as uncharacterized. NCBI's taxonomy places the organism in Eukaryota, Viridiplantae, Streptophyta, Magnoliopsida, Malvales, Malvaceae. The transcript is spliced from 2 exons. The record is from RefSeq and is a predicted model, not a curated record.